GACGAACGCUGGCGGCGCGCCUAACACAUGCAAGUCGAACGAGAGAUGAGGAGCUUGCUCUUCAAAUCGAGUGGCGAACGGGUGAGUAACGCGUGAGGAACCUGCCUCAAAGAGGGGGACAACAGUUGGAAACGACUGCUAAUACCGCAUAAGCCCACGGCUCGGCAUCGAGCAGAGGGAAAAGGAGUGAUCCGCUUUGAGAUGGCCUCGCGUCCGAUUAGCUAGUUGGUGAGGUAACGGCCCACCAAGGCGACGAUCGGUAGCCGGACUGAGAGGUUGAACGGCCACAUUGGGACUGAGACACGGCCCAGACUCCUACGGGAGGCAGCAGUGGGGAAUAUUGCACAAUGGGGGAAACCCUGAUGCAGCGACGCCGCGUGGAGGAAGAAGGUCUUCGGAUUGUAAACUCCUGUUGUUGAGGAAGAUAAUGACGGUACUCAACAAGGAAGUGACGGCUAACUACGUGCCAGCAGCCGCGGUAAAACGUAGGUCACAAGCGUUGUCCGGAAUUACUGGGUGUAAAGGGAGCGCAGGCGGGAGAACAAGUUGGAAGUGAAAUCCAUGGGCUCAACCCAUGAACUGCUUUCAAAACUGUUUUUCUUGAGUAGUGCAGAGGUAGGCGGAAUUCCCGGUGUAGCGGUGGAAUGCGUAGAUAUCGGGAGGAACACCAGUGGCGAAGGCGGCCUACUGGG
RNAcentral lists this ribosomal RNA (692 nucleotides) under uncultured Lachnospiraceae bacterium. Its description in RNAcentral is "bacterial SSU rRNA". It matches the Rfam family "Bacterial small subunit ribosomal RNA", at positions 28 to 733 of the family's 1533-position model. Lineage: Bacteria; Bacillati; Bacillota; Clostridia; Lachnospirales; Lachnospiraceae. The record is from RNAcentral.